Coturnix japonica (Japanese quail) is the source of this 1590-nucleotide non-coding RNA. NCBI's taxonomy places the organism in Eukaryota, Metazoa, Chordata, Aves, Galliformes, Phasianidae. The record is from RefSeq and is a predicted model, not a curated record.
UAGGUCGCCAGUACGCAUGCGCCAGUUUUAGCACAGUAGUGCGCAUGCGCCAGUUUUAUAUCGCCAGUACGCACGCGCCAGUUUUAGGACGCCUGUACGCAUGCGCCAGUUUUAGAUCGCCAUUCCGCAUGCGUAUUGCAGUUUUAAACUUGCAUAUGCGCACGGGCGUCCUAAAACUGGCGCAUGCGUACUGGGGGUUCAAACUGGCGCAUGCGCAUUGUUCUUCCGACACUGGCGUAUUCGUCCUGUUAAGUUAAUGGUGCUUUCGUUCCGGUUCUGGCACGUUCACAUGGAUGUUCCCAAACUGCCGCUUGUGUACGACGGUUCCGAAGCUGGUCUGGAAAUUAGCGCAUGCGUGUUCCCGAUCCGAAAAUAGUUCAAGAACUCGCGCUUGCGUACUGUGGGUCAGGCACUCGCCCAUGCGCCUUGAUGUUCUGGAUAUUGCGCAUGCGCAUUUCUUUUCGGAGUUCGCCCAUGCGUACUGUCGUUCUGGAUCUGGCGCAUGCGCCGUGUCACCGGCUGUUCCGGAUGGCUGCAGUUCUGCAGUUUGGCCGCGUGGUGGCAGCACACAACGCGCAAUGGAUUCGUUCGUCCGGUCUGUGCUGCUGACGGCGGCCGAGCAUGUAAAGGUGUCGGGGAUGAUGAACAUUGAUGGUAUCAAUUGCACAGCCGCAUGCAGUGAAGCCUGGGAUGGUUUGGAACGCUUACGAGAGCAAAGCAAAGCAAAGCAUUGCACUGAGCAACUUUUGGAACAAACCGAGUGGUACCAAGUUCCACAGCUGGACUCUCCGCUCUGAGGUUCCAUCCCGUUCACUCGGGGUUUGUAAAUGUCCGCUGGGUCAGUUUUGUUACCGAGCGACUUGUCUUCGGUUCUUUCAUUUGCAACUGUUGCAGCAUCUGCCGCAGGGAAUGUUGCCAGCAUUUGACCCUGGGCACCAAGGCUGAACCACUUUAAUAACAGUGGGACUCCCAUCACAGUGUCAAGGAUUUGUUCUGCUUUGGACCCAAAGGAAGAAUCAAUACAAAGCAUGAGAUGUAUGAAAGUCAUCAUCAGGCAAUGCUUCUUAGCACCACCUUUGGGAAACAGAUAAGGGAUUUGUAAUAAAAAUCUUGCUACAGCAGUAAUAUACAAUGCUACGUAAGAAUAAUAUGAGAACACUCCUCAAGGAUGCAAGGAACUUUCUGAUCUGAUCCUGCACUAUUUGCCUGCAGCUGUUCCAGAUCCAGCUGUAUGUUCUUUUUGGGAGUACAACUUAAAAAAACAAUGGAAAAAAAUGGUAGUUUAAUAUAGGCAGAAAAAAAAAGAGCAGGAUGUUUCUAUCAGUAUUUAAAAUGAGUUAGCAGUCAACAACAGAAGCCAAUUCUAGAAUAGCACCAUGAGAAACAGCAGCAGAGAAUGAAACAUCGACAUUAUCCUCAACUACUGCUCCUGCAAAAAUAAAUAAAUAAAAAUCUUUUGGCCAUGACCUGUCUGAAGGCAUUUACACAUAUACACAUAUACACAUAUUCACAUAUUCACAUACACACAUAUUCACAUACACACAUAUUCACAUUCACACACCUUCCUCGUAUUUUAACUGCAUGAAAAAA